This 1863-nucleotide ribosomal RNA is filed under the name Escherichia coli. RNAcentral's name for it is "partial 23S ribosomal RNA". It matches the Rfam family "Bacterial large subunit ribosomal RNA", at positions 1085 to 2925 of the family's 2925-position model. Lineage: Bacteria; Pseudomonadati; Pseudomonadota; Gammaproteobacteria; Enterobacterales; Enterobacteriaceae. The record is from RNAcentral.
CCAGACAGCCAGGAUGUUGGCUUAGAAGCAGCCAUCAUUUAAAGAAAGCGUAAUAGCUCACUGGUCGAGUCGGCCUGCGCGGAAGAUGUAACGGGGCUAAACCAUGCACCGAAGCUGCGGCAGCGACGCUUAUGUGUUGUUGGGUAGGGGAGCGUUCUGUAAGCCUGUGAAGGUGGCCUGUGAGGGUUGCUGGAGGUAUCAGAAGUGCGAAUGCUGACAUAAGUAACGAUAAAGCGGGUGAAAAGCCCGCUCGCCGGAAGACCAAGGGUUCCUGUCCAACGUUAAUCGGGGCAGGGUGAGUCGACCCCUAAGGCGAGGCCGAAAGGCGUAGUCGAUGGGAAACAGGUUAAUAUUCCUGUACUUGGUGUUACUGCGAAGGGGGGACGGAGAAGGCUAUGUUGGCCGGGCGACGGUUGUCCCGGUUUAAGCGUGUAGGCUGGUUUUCCAGGCAAAUCCGGAAAACCAAGGCUGAGGCGUGAUGACGAGGCACUACGGUGCUGAAGCGACAAAUGCCCUGCUUCCAGGAAAAGCCUCUAAGCAUCAGGUAACAUCAAAUCGUACCCCAAACCGACACAGGUGGUCAGGUAGAGAAUACCAAGGCGCUUGAGAGAACUCGGGUGAAGGAACUAGGCAAAAUGGUGCCGUAACUUCGGGAGAAGGCACGCUGAUAUGUAGGUGAAGCGACUUGCUCGUGGAGCUGAAAUCAGUCGAAGAUACCAGCUGGCUGCAACUGUUUAUUAAAAACACAGCACUGUGCAAACACGAAAGUGGACGUAUACGGUGUGACGCCUGCCCGGUGCCGGAAGGUUAAUUGAUGGGGUUAGCGGCAACGCGAAGCUCUUGAUCGAAGCCCCGGUAAACGGCGGCCGUAACUAUAACGGUCCUAAGGUAGCGAAAUUCCUUGUCGGGUAAGUUCCGACCUGCACGAAUGGCGUAAUGAUGGCCAGGCUGUCUCCACCCGAGACUCAGUGAAAUUGAACUCGCUGUGAAGAUGCAGUGUACCCGCGGCAAGACGGAAAGACCCCGUGAACCUUUACUAUAGCUUGACACUGAACAUUGAGCCUUGAUGUGUAGGAUAGGUGGGAGGCUUUGAAGUGUGGACGCCAGUCUGCAUGGAGCCGACCUUGAAAUACCACCCUUUAAUGUUUGAUGUUCUAACGUGGGCCCCUAAUCGGGGUUGCGGACAGUGUCUGGUGGGUAGUUUGACUGGGGCGGUCUCCUCCUAAAGAGUAACGGAGGAGCACGAAGGUUGGCUAAUCCUGGUCGGACAUCAGGAGGUUAGUGCAAUGGCAUAAGCCAGCUUGACUGCGAGCGUGACGGCGCGAGCAGGUGCGAAAGCAGGUCAUAGUGAUCCGGUGGUUCUGAAUGGAAGGGCCAUCGCUCAACGGAUAAAAGGUACUCCGGGGAUAACAGGCUGAUACCGCCCAAGAGUUCAUAUCGACGGCGGUGUUUGGCACCUCGAUGUCGGCUCAUCACAUCCUGGGGCUGAAGUAGGUCCCAAGGGUAUGGCUGUUCGCCAUUUAAAGUGGUACGCGAGCUGGGUUUAGAACGUCGUGAGACAGUUCGGUCCCUAUCUGCCGUGGGCGCUGGAGAACUGAGGGGGGCUGCUCCUAGUACGAGAGGACCGGAGUGGACGCAUCACUGGUGUUCGGGUUGUCAUGCCAAUGGCACUGCCCGGUAGCUAAAUGCGGAAGAGAUAAGUGCUGAAAGCAUCUAAGCACGAAACUUGCCCCGAGAUGAGUUCUCCCUGAGACUUAGAGUCUCCUGAAGGAACGUUGAAGACGACGACGUUGAUAGGCCGGGUGUGUAAGCGCAGCGAUGCGUUGAGCUAACCGGUACUAAUGAACCGUGAGGCUUAACCUU